This 393-nucleotide ribosomal RNA is filed under the name uncultured bacterium. Its description in RNAcentral is "partial 16S ribosomal RNA". It matches the Rfam family "Bacterial small subunit ribosomal RNA", at positions 523 to 918 of the family's 1533-position model. The record is from RNAcentral.
AUACGGAAGGUCCGGGCGUUAUCCGGAUUUAUUGGGUUUAAAGGGAGCGCAGGCGGAGAUGCAAGCGUGACGUCAAAUUUCGGGGCUCAACCCCGUCUCGCGUCGCGAACUGCGUCCCUUGGUUGCGGGAAGGGGAGGCGGAACUCGUGGUGUAGCGGUGAAAUGCAUAGAUAUCACGAAGAACUCCGAUCGCGAAGGCUGGCAUCCGGCCCGUCAACGACGCGCAUGCUCGAAGGUGCGGGUAUCAAACAGGAUUAGAUACCCUGGUAGUCCGCACAGUAAACGAUGGACACCCGCGGUUUGGCCUGUAUGGCUGAGCCGCCAAGCGAAAGCGUUAAGGGUCCCACCUGGGUAGUACGCCGGCAACGGUGAAACUCAAAUGAAUUGGCGGGG